GGGACUAUGGCUUAGUGGUCGAGUGCUUGCCUAAAAAGCAAGAGGCCCUGAGUUCAAAUCCCAGUACCACCA
This 72-nucleotide transfer RNA is filed under the name Dipodomys ordii (Ord's kangaroo rat). It matches the Rfam family "tRNA". Rfam says of the family: Transfer RNA (tRNA) molecules are approximately 80 nucleotides in length. Their secondary structure includes four short double-helical elements and three loops (D, anti-codon, and T loops). Further hydrogen bonds mediate the characteristic L-shaped molecular structure. tRNAs have two regions of fundamental functional importance: the anti-codon, which is responsible for specific mRNA codon recognition, and the 3' end, to which the tRNAs corresponding amino acid is attached (by aminoacyl-tRNA synthetases). tRNAs cope with the degeneracy of the genetic code in two manners: having more than one tRNA (with a specific anti-codon) for a particular amino acid; and 'wobble' base-pairing, i.e. permitting non-standard base-pairing at the 3rd anti-codon position. The record is from Rfam by way of RNAcentral. Lineage: Eukaryota; Metazoa; Chordata; Mammalia; Rodentia; Heteromyidae.